UACUUAAUCUUUAAUUAGCUUCGUUGUUCUAAGCUGUUGCAUAAAAGCUAUUAAAGUUACAGCAGGACAUAAUGUAUGCUUGCACAGUAAGAACAACAAAUAUAGGCAGAACAGUCUUUGUCAUAAAUAUCCCUCAAGCCGUCUCAGCAGACCUCUCUGCCAUCAUUAUGCAGCUCAUGGCCAGCCUGCCUGAGCAGUGCCAAACAAACAGCCAGCACCGAGUGCAUUUAAUGGCAGCAGCUCCUCCUCUUUCUAAACAAUAUGUGCAAACAUGCCUUUCCAUCCCCUGGGGCUUUCAUUGUUUUAUGAUUAGCAGGUCCCUGAGUGUUUCUUGAGGAGAGACAUCAAGACAAACCCACUGACAUGAAGAAGACCUUCCCUGAUCCAUGGGGCUCUUGCUGUGCAUGCCACAAGGAGACAGAGGCCAAGGGCUAAAACAUCACUUACCCCACCCCCUGAGGGAGGAUACAGGAGACCCCCAUCCUUCAGUUAGCUGCGUGCAAGGAGAUACAUGUGAAAAAUCAAUCAGAGAGGAAGCAUGACCCCUCAAACCAGGGAUGCUGCUAAAGAGGAUAUGGGCCCGCAGGCUGUCAUGCAAGGAACGGUAUUAGUGCAGCCUCAGUCAAAAGAGAAAGCCAGACCACCACGCUCAGGCUUGGCUCUGCUGCAACCGCUUCUCGUGCUCCAGUGCUGCCUUGCUGACUCUUGGAUGCUGCCUGUGCAAGGACCUGCCCUGCCUGCUUGGUGCUGGUUAUCAGUGGUCAGUUCCAAUUUCAGCAAAUAGCUCUGGUGGAAAAGGACAGAUCUGUAAGUCCCUCAUUGUCCUUCUCUCCGUGCCUGGUGGGGAGACUGAAUAAAAUAUGCUGGAUGCUGCAGGAAGAUGCAAAAUUUAAAUAAAUUCCCCUUCCUUCUCAGAAAUAAAAAUGUUUCUCCCCUAAGAACCCCUUGAUUAAUUGAACUCGCAACUGACAAAUCGAGGAUCGGAAUUCAAAAUCCAAUUGAAAUGGAGGAAAACAGCAUUACGCACCAUCUGAUGCAGUCAGCGAUGUCACAGAAUGAAACGACUGCAGAAAAAUAGGGCCUUGUGCUGGAGGAGCCGUCAUUAAGAUGUGGCGAGGGUAUUAUUAAGUAAAAGAACAUUGAUUUUGUUUGAAGGAUUUGGCCGUCCAUAUUAAAUAUCAUCUCGGUAAUGUGAUCUCAGUAGUCGCUUGAAAUGUCAGACUCACUUGGCUACGUCUGUUUGCUGGGGUUGCUGCUGGAAAAUGGAAAUGGAAAUCUCGUUCUUUAUCAGCCCAUGGUCUGCAUUAGCAACUUGAUAGGCUUCGCCCAUACGGGGAUGAAUUAGCAUACGAGCUCACUAUGGGGAAUAUAGGUAUGCCAGGAACGCUGGUGUGUGUAAAACAUGUGACAGCAACAAGAUGAGUAAUGCAGGCAGAAGCAGCCACCAUAGCGAGAUAUUUCAAAGCCAGGAACCUCUGUAAGCUCUGGGCUUUCGUGUGACGUGCGCUAUGGAUCCAACGCCGGUCUGGGUCCUCUGCUGCAUGAGUACACGCAGUGCUGCUGGCUUCAGCUCCACAUUCCUGCUUCGGGAGAGCAGGGAGCCUGCAUCUCCGCACCCACGGACACUGCUUCUGUCAGGGCUUGAGAGGCAAUCAGAAAUGCCUAGAUGUCACACUGAGGAGCUGUGACGUCCACCCAAGAAGGGGGAAGAAAAAGGCUUGCUUGUUGCUCAAACCAGAAUAGCCACCACUGAGCGCACCCCAAGGCCCACCUGCUGGAUGCUCCGCAAAGACACCUCGGCUUUGCUGCUUCGAAGAGCCUCGAAUCGAGUCCGCAGAUCAAGCGUGCCACCUGCAGCCCAUGCCUGGCACUGCGGGGCGGUCUAUUCAUCAGGAAAAUUACGCUGUUACGUGUGACUCUUGAAUGCUUCUAACACCGGUCACUGGCAACGUGGCCACUGUUGGCCCAGCAGCACUGAGGGCACAUCCUGGGGAGCGUGCAUGGACAACAAACUGCGUCUUGAGCCCAACAGCACGACCCCCCUCCCAGCUGUAAUAAAUGAAAUUGCACCAGAAAAACAGAAGUGAUUUUUACUGACGUGAUUUAAUGGAAAGUGAAUUCCUCUAUCCCCUGCUCUGAACUUUGGCUUUAGAGAAACAUCUGCUAUCUAUGAAGAAGUGUCUGCAAUGUCGUGCCUUCACAUCUGGGCAGCAGAGAUGAGCGAGUGAUGACAUUUGCCUUCUCUAGAACUUGCUUAUAUUAAAUGUAUAUUAAAUGAGAGGGCUGGAGCUGUGGCCUGCUGCAAGACUUGAGCUACAAAUGCUCACAGGGAGAGCUUCAGGAGAUGCAUUCACCACCUGAAUGGUCAAAGGGUUCUGCCUAAAUCCCAUCCCCUUUCUGAAACGCAUUCCUUCCAAACACACAUUAUUAUUUGCACAAUGAUCUUUCAUCUCAUACGACCAGCUUUGCUUCAGAGGGGUUUCUGUGGCAGCUUGGCAUUUGGUGCUGAAUAGCACUGAAGCUAAUUGAUGGCAUAUAAAACAAGGAAAUGGUAUUUCCUAGAGUGGAAAGCUAUGUUUGUUGUUUAAUGAGCCUCAUGUGGACCAGUUUGUACCAUGGGGAAGGGAGCUGGGUAGGCUCCCUGAAACCAUAGCAUAUAGUAUUUCCUCAAGGUGCUACAAAAGGUGGUACCCCCACCAUCAGAAAAAUGCCAAGCUGGCCCCAAUAGAUGAGUAGAAACCAGAUUAGUUUUAUCACCGUGAUAAAAGAAUGGAAGUGAAGUUUUUGUGGGGGUUACCGAGAGGUUACCGAUAUUUAUCAGAUUUAAGUUAAACUUUUGAGCUGCAGUUAUAUCUGAAGAAGCCCUAUAUUUUUGAAGACAUCACAACAGAGAAAGAGAGUGUACUUCAGAUGAACUUCUCUCUUCUCAGACAGCCCUGAUAUACACGCUGGAAAUCAGACAAAAACCACUGACUAACCUAUCCUGACAUCUUUACCAGGCCUCUUCACUGCUACAGCAAAUAAAAUCGAAUUCCUUCAGCUGAAAAAUGUGAACAAAACUUUCUUUUCAUAAAACACUGGAGUACUGUGACACAUCAGCAAAUGUCCAUAGGAAAACCCAGCUUCACGCCUCCGCAGUUUGUGGUCCUUCUAGAGCCCCAUGGAUGGCUCUUGAAUGGGAUGACCUGGAGAUGCCUCAUAACAAAGAGGAGAAAAGCCACCUGAAAGAGAGUACUCAUGAUUCGUCCGGCUGUAGUUUAAAGAGUUUCAGUUCUCCGAGGGGCCCGUGCUGUUGCUGCCCAGUCACCAUUUGCAAGCAAGUGGAGAAUGGCUGAAGUGGAAGCUUACAAACACCCUACAGGCAGAAUUUCAUUCAAAACUGGGACGGGAGCUGCUCAGCACAUCUGGACAUACCUGCUGUCUGUAUCGCAUUCUUCAGUUCAGACACAUCAAGAAAUCCAGAACGAUUUCUGUCUUCCCUCCUGAAGAGAUCCUGAAAAACAGCAGAAAGGCAGAUUUCAAGCCUGUAUCACCACUCCCCAAAUAUACUGCUAUAUCUAAUUGGGUAGGAUGCUUUCCUUCCUUAAUAAAUUUGCUGCAAGGAAGUCAACAGAUAAGGUGAGGCAACCAUGACAAGACAGACCAUUUCCAGAAGGCUCAGACAGUGUAUAUUAGCAAAAAAAAUUCCAGUUUGGGGUGGGUUGAAGCCUUUUUGCUCACUUUCCUGGUUUGUGUGCACAAGCAACAAUAGGAAUACUCAUACUUCCACUGAAGAAAAGACAUUGUAAUACAUUAAAUCUGCCAGGUGUCCCCGUGUCCCAGAAUGGCAUGGGCUCAUCUUUCCCAGCAAACCUGAGGCACUGCCAGUGGGACAGGCAUUGCCGCUCAAUGGGGAACUGGCACCCCAUUGUCCUAGGUGGCCACAGACCAUCUUGAGAGGGACAAAAUAAAGCACAGCCUGCCCAUCUUGGAGGCUUCAAGGAAUCUUCCCCUCCUGCAGUAAGCCUGGAGGAAGAAACACGUGACACAGGGAAGCUGCCUGAACUUAGGUGGGGCCCUAAAUACCAAGCUGGUGUCCACACGGUUUCCAAAUCUAAUGCUUUUCUGGGAGCAGAAAUAUUAACCUCAGGGAAACUUUCAGCAGAUCCUACACAUCUCUGCUGCAAACAGCAGCAGUGAGGAAGUGACGCUUUUCAGGUGACAGUUCAAAAAUUCAUUUCAUCUCAGAAAGCUUUAAAAUGAGUUCCCAGUGGUGGCACACAGAUUUGCAUCAAAUCCUGAGACUAACUGGCCUUCCCAUGUUUUCCCCUUCAGAAAAUCCCUGGUUGCUUGCUCACAGCGUUUCGCACACUCCUGCUU
Numida meleagris (helmeted guineafowl) is the source of this 4359-nucleotide long non-coding RNA. RefSeq lists it as uncharacterized. The record is from RefSeq and is a predicted model, not a curated record. The transcript is spliced from 8 exons. Lineage: Eukaryota; Metazoa; Chordata; Aves; Galliformes; Numididae.